RNAcentral lists this long non-coding RNA (2055 nucleotides) under Equus caballus (horse). Its description in RNAcentral is "lncRNA (ENSECAG00000059419.1)". Lineage: Eukaryota; Metazoa; Chordata; Mammalia; Perissodactyla; Equidae. The record is from RNAcentral.
UUUGGCUCUUGGAAUGUUGACUGAUGUUCACAUUGCUGAAUCUGCAAUGACCUCAGUAGAUCCAAGGGCCAAACUCCAAGUGAGCAUACCAGGUCAUGUUGGUAUAACCAGCUUCAUGGGGGGUGGCUUUACUAAGUCCGAAGAUUCUGAUCAGUUCCUCUCUUGCCCAUACAUGGCACCACUGACUCCUGUUAGAGCACACCACUGUGAAUGAUGCAUGAACUGCACUAGGUCCAAAUGGACUAACUAGGCCUGCUGUGCCACUAUGGGAAAGAGCAGACUUUGGUGCCUCUGAAAAGCAGCUGCCUGCAGAUUGCAGCUGAUUUCUGAGAUCCCUGAAACAAGACAUGAAGUGAGUAUCACAAGAUGUGAUGGAAACGCGGUAGAAGACACGGACUCUGCCGUCAAGAGAGGGAGGUCACACACCAGCUGCACAGCAUUCAGCAAGUCACAUCACUUCUCUUGGCUUUAGGUCACUCAAAACCAAAGUGGGAACAGUAACUCCUUUUUCUACCCACCUGCUUGCUAGGGUGGGCAUGAGAUUCAAAUAAGAUACAGCUGUGUUUGAAUCCUGGCUCUGCUACAUCCUGCCACGAGCUUGACUGUAUUACUUAUUUAAUUUUCCAAAUCUGGGUUUUUGUCCCUGUAAAGUGAAGAUAAUAUGUGAACACCUUACACGGUUGUUACAAGAAUUAGGUGAUGUAUAUAAAGCACCUAUCACAGUGGGUGCUUGGUAAAUGAGAGCCUCAAUAUUAAGCAGGCUACUUGUUUGAGUUACACAAGGGCACCAUCAAACAUAUGGCAGCUUUCUCAAUCAAAUGGCAGAUCCACUCAGUUGACAACCAACCUUUGUUGAACUAGGCACCAUAUCUUGCUGAUAAAGCUCACACAGUGACAGCAAGAGUACCUGGGCUGUGAUCUGUAACCCAAGUUUCAGCCUCCCUGGUGUCCCUCAUCCUCCAGUCAUACAGGGCCACCCCACUCUUCAAUAUCAAAUAGCAAAUCAACUGGCUCUGACUCCCAUCUCACAUACAGCAGGAAAUUCUCAUCCCUCCCCUCCAUAUUUCCAUAGCUUCUCAGAGGAUUGAUAUUUCUUUUAGAUACUUCCUGAGUUCCUGCUUCUGCUGCAUUCUUGGUCUCUGCUUGUGUCUCACCUCCUAUAGCUGUUUUCCUUUUUUUCAUUGUCCAUUGAGCCAAAUGUAAAAUACAUCUCCUUUUCUCUUCCAUUACGGUUAUUUGCUUUUAUCUCUUAUCACAUACAAAUAAUCAGGUUGGUCUGUUAUUAUUUGUUUGAAUACAAGGUUUUAAUCUAGCGUCCACCUGUGUUUCUGCUCUUUGACUUUCCUGUACUUCUUGCAUAGAGUGGCUUCUGAUAUUCUUACUUCUCUUAAAUUCACACAAUCAUUUUAUGUGGGUGCAAGCAUGUGACCCAACUACGUGUUCUAGUCUGUUCAUGUGUGAAUAUAUACAUAUUGAAACACAUUUUAAAAAUCCAUGUUUUGACCUUUAUAUUAUAGUUAGGACAUUAUAUUGAUUUUUAUAGUAAUGUACACAGGUUAUAUUAUCUAUGAAUUCAAUUUUAGGACAGUAAAGGGGGCAAAAACUAAAUAUACAUUAUAAAAUCAGGGCGUUGGGUCUGUUAGUGUAGUGGGUGGUGUAUGGGUGAAUUGGAGCGACAUCUUUCCAUUCUUGUGGCUUCUCUUUCUGCCGGCAACCACUCUAACAAGAGCAGGGGAUGUGGAAUGCGAAACCUGCAAUCUGAAGUGAGGGCUGGUUGAGAUCCUCCCUUUGUGAGUGCCAAGUAUUUGCAUGCUAGCUGCUUCCCUGUCCUUCCACUAGAUGCCAGCAGUGUCCCAGGAGACUGUCUGGGUGGCUCUGUUGUGCCUCUCUGGGAGUUUUCAAAAUCAGCGCAAGGAAAGUUGCUCCAGCUCCAAGUACACUACAUUGUUUCUAGAGUUGGAGGGCUGCUUAUGGUAUCUUGGUCACCCGGUUCCCUACCUGCGCUGGUUUCAGAACAACAGGGUCAAGUUUAGGCACACAACAAUGCAUCGGGUG